Molecule: ribosomal RNA, 274 nt
Filed under: uncultured bacterium
Lineage: Bacteria
Description: partial 16S ribosomal RNA
Rfam family: Archaeal small subunit ribosomal RNA
Source: RNAcentral
AAACCAGCACCUCAAGUGGUCAGGAUGAUUAUUGGGCCUAAAGCAUCCGUAGCCUGUUCUGUAAGUUUCCGGUUAAAUCCAUUAGCUCAACUAAUGGGCCGCCGAAAAUACUGCAAAACUAGGGAGUGGGAGAGGUAGACGGUACUCGGUAGGAAGGGGUAAAAUCCUUUGAUCUAUUGAUGACCACCUGUGGCGAAGGCGGUCUACCAGAACACGUUCGACGGUGAGGGAUGAAAGCUGGGGGAGCAAACCGGAUUAGAAACCCCAGUAGUCC